Molecule: ribosomal RNA, 440 nt
Filed under: uncultured bacterium
Lineage: Bacteria
Description: bacterial SSU rRNA
Rfam family: Bacterial small subunit ribosomal RNA
Source: RNAcentral
CCUACGGGAGGCAGCAGUGGGGAAUUUUGGACAAUGGGGGCAACCCUGAUCCAGCCAUUCCGCGUGAGUGAAGAAGGCCUUCGGGUUGUAAAGCUCUUUUGUCCGGAACGAAACGGGCGACGUGAAUAUCGUCGUCUACUGACGGUACCGGAAGAAUAAGCACCGGCUAACUACGUGCCAGCAGCCGCGGUAAUACGUAGGGUGCGAGCGUUAAUCGGAAUUACUGGGCGUAAAGCGUGCGCAGGCGGUUUUGUAAGCCAGAUGUGAAAUCCCCGGGCUUAACCUGGGAAUGGCAUUUGGGACUGCAAGGCUGGAGUGCGGCAGAGGAGACUGGAAUUCCUGGUGUAGCAGUGAAAUGCGUAGAUAUCAGGAGGAACACCGAUGGCGAAGGCAGGUCUCUGGGCUGACACUGACGCUCAUGCACGAAAGCGUGGGGAGCA